CUGCAAACUUUGAGAGGAAGGGAGUGCAAGGUUGUCUGAUUGGUUUUCGAGGGCUAGAAGGUAUAUGAAGAUGCCCCAAUGGCUAAACGCUGAACAGUGGGAGAAACUUAAGGCAUAUUGGCGAACUCCUGAGUUUAUCGCCAAGUCUGAGCAGGAAAAGGCUGCCCGUGCAUCCCAGAAAGGUGGCUCUUUGCACUGCGGGUGCAAGAAGUCAGGGGCACGUGGCUAGGACAAUGAAAAAAGCUACGGGACAGAUGCCAACUCAGGAUCAGCUAUUCCUAAAGACCCACACAAAAAAGAAGAAGCAGGAGUCGGAUCCGACCGUAUGGGUUGAGGACAGGGCUCGUAAUUCCUAUACGCAAUUUAUGGAUGAUGUGGACCAGUACAGCCAAACUCAGCCUGAGCAUCCGAGCCGUCCUCCACCGGAAUUAGAGAUAGAUUUUUGGUGUAGAGCAGUUGGGGGAGUACAAAAGGGUAGAGCGUACGGUCUAGGCCCAAGGAACAACUUAAGUCGCCUUCGGUCAAGAUUGCGAGGUGAAGGGUCUUCUCGACAAGUCAAGGGAGUUGAUG
Molecule: long non-coding RNA, 570 nt
Organism: Lycium ferocissimum
Lineage: Eukaryota; Viridiplantae; Streptophyta; Magnoliopsida; Solanales; Solanaceae
Exons: 3
Source: RefSeq, a predicted model, not a curated record